Molecule: ribosomal RNA, 84 nt
Filed under: Crataegus phippsii
Lineage: Eukaryota; Viridiplantae; Streptophyta; Magnoliopsida; Rosales; Rosaceae
Description: partial 5.8S ribosomal RNA
Rfam family: 5.8S ribosomal RNA
About the family: 5.8S ribosomal RNA (5.8S rRNA) is a component of the large subunit of the eukaryotic ribosome. It is transcribed by RNA polymerase I as part of the 45S precursor that also contains 18S and 28S rRNA.
Source: RNAcentral
UGCAGAAUCCCGUGAACCAUCGAGUCUUUGAACGCAAGUUGCGCCCGAAGUCGCUAGGUCGAGGGCACGCCUGCCUGGGCGUCA